UGGUUAUUAGGUUUAAGGGUGGGAGGAGUCGUUGGAGUAUUAAGGUUGGGUGGGGGAGACAUCGUUUGAGAGUAAGGUUUUGGUGGGGGAUGUGCCAUUUUGGAAUUAGGGUUAGGUGUGAGUGGAGUUUUCUGAAACACGACUUCGCUGGGCUCGAGGUCUUGGGAGUUGCCACACUCUAAGCGCGGAUUACGUGGUGUGGUUGUAUUGCAUUCAAAUAGUUAGGUGUUUGGUGUUGGGUUGAGUUAUGUGUUUUGCAAAGAGAGGGAGUGUGUUGUUUUUGAGGAUAGGAGUUCAGAGACAUUGCGAGACCCUUUGAAUGGAGGAAGGAGUGAGACGUGUAAGACAGAGUGAACCAGAACAUCGACGAUAGUUGGAGCUAGUACGCAACGACACUGAUAUGGCAGAGGACUUGGUAUGGUCCGAAAAAACGCAGACCCAACUUUUGGUUCGAACGAUGCUCCAUGAAGUGUUGCCAGUAGGGUUGGAGGCACACCCAGACCUAAUCGCCAGAGUUGAAUUUGCGGUCAUCGCGGUGGUGGUUCGCUUGGUCACACAUGUGUUAGUGUGUCCAUCGUAAGUUUUCCUUGAGUUCGCGAAGGAUGAUGGUGUGAUGUGACAGUAUAUCGGGGAUGGUUGCGUCUACAUGUGGGUCCCAGCCGACCAUACAAAGUGUGGAACAGGGAGGUCCCUAUCGCCGAAUGGUGGGUGGUAUUGUGCCAUAGUUAUGCCAAUGAAGAUAUUGAUACCACUUACGAGGUUGGAUUCUCACAAAACACCUCAGGUAAACUUUGAAUCCUCGGUUAAGCACUUCCACUUGGCCAUCCGUUUGUAGAUGAUAUGGUGAACUGAAUUUUAAUGUAUUGUCUUAUGCUGUGAACAAUUGUCUCCAAAAAGUACUGACGAACAAGGGGUCUCUGUCAGAUACAAUUUUGUGAUUUCCAUACAUUUCGGGAAGGUGACAAAUUAAUCUUCGAGACUUACAGUGAGAAGGCCCUUACCGAUAUGAGGGUUUUGUUACUGCUGUGAAUAGUUUCUUUUUUGUCAAUUUAUUUUGGCAAAAUGUUUUUUUUUGGGAAACAAGGACAAUGGUACUUUUCCUUUUUAUUUAAUUUAACAAUAUUGUGCUUAAUAGUAUCUAUUCAUCAUUCAUUCAUUAUGCAUACUCAUCAUUCUUUUUACAAUCUGAUUUUUUUCAAUAUGUUGGCAUAAUUUUAAAUGUGCUAAACGUUUAGUACGAGCCAGUACAUAGAACAAAAAAUAAAAUGUAUGUAAAAUAAUAAUUUAUAAAUUUUAUCUCAUAUAUUGUUGUGUUCAUUUUACGAUUACACAUUCCAUAUGCAUGCUUUUUUAAAUUUUGUUUACAUUCACUUUUUAUUUUAGAUUCAGUUUUUUUUCCUUAGAUGUUGGGUCUUUUAUUUUAUUUAAGCUUAUUGUCAAUUAUACGUAGUUUUAUUUCAUUCAUUAUUUAUUUGCAUUAUAAGAAUACACACGGAGUUAAAUUUUAUUUGCAUGAUUCCAAUAUAUACUUUUAAAUAUGUUGUUAACACUUUAUCCAAUAUGUACACAAUAUUUUGCAUUUAGUUAUAAUUAUUACUCAUGUGUUACCACAAUAUGACGUGUUAAACCCUAUAAUCCUAUUUCGGUCAAGAAACGUACAUUCAUAUUAUCUAUUAUGUAUACUAAAUUGUUAUUUUCCAUUCUUUUGUUGCACGUUGUUCUUUUAUAAGUAAAUGCAUUCCGAGAACAACAGGAAUGUAACUCAACAUAUUGCACUACAGUCCCUCAAUGCAAAGAACUUUAUUAAUACCUCUCUACAUCUAAUAAUAUAUUUUUGGCAGAGUUUUACUAUGUAAUUGUUCUACAACUGUUUGGUUUUGUUUUUGUGUAAUUGUUUGUACUUUACUUAAUUUUUUUCAUUUCAUUGUUUAUUUAUGUAUUUCCUUCUAUUUUUUUUAAUUAUAGAGAGACCAAUGACCAAAAUAGUGUUAUUCAAGAUUGUUUCAUUUAGUAACGAAUGAAGUUAUAAUGGAGGCUAAAAGCAUUCUUUCCUACUUUAGAAAAAAGGUAAGCAAAGGUAGCAUUUUUUAAUUAUGUUGCUUACUUUUGAUCUUGAAUCUUCUUCGUUGUUCAAGUCUCAUAUUUUGAAGCCAAGAUUUGCUUUCAAGAUAACUCUAAUUGUGUUAAAAAAAGGUUACAAAUCUGUAAAGUUACAGACGUCGUGUGUAAUCAUUGUCAGCUUUGAAACCCUAUGUUGUAGGUUCUUCGCUUUCACAUUGCUAAAAGCGUGUUAAUAAAUUGUUGCCAACUUUUCGGCAAUCCAAAAACAAGAAACUUACUAUAUUUGAAGCCACUCACAUAUGAAACGGUUUUUUUUAUUGAUAAUAGAAAACUUAUGAACAACAAAGAUUACAUAUAUUGCACUCGAAGUCGAGGAGGGUAAAUGUAGGGUAUUUUCAAUGAAAAAGUUUCAAAUUUUUUAUCUUCCCAAAAUUGUAUGUCAAGUUUCCAUUGUUGACCUAAUUUGGUUUAACAUUUUAAUUAUCCUGUUAUGUUAUUUUUUCACGUUUUUUCUUGAGAGUAAUUGCUUCGAUUAUUUAGUAACUAUUUUGUGUAUUUUAUGUGAAAUUGGAAAAUAUGUUGUGACUACAAAAGAGUAUUAAAUUCAACGGAGACGAAUACAAAGUUGACUUUGAACGUUGCCCAAAAUAUGCUAGAACAAAACAAAAAAUACUUAUGUCAACACUAACACAUGGUUCUGAUUCCAUUAGCAUUAUUUUCUAGACGCUUAUGCCUGUCAAACAAUAUUUUCUAGGUUUUAAAAUUUCAACUUUGUUCAAAAUGUGUUAAAAUCCUUCAAAAGUGCUUUCAUGAAUCUCAAAGCGAUCAAGUAUACCAUUUUGGUUAAAACAUACUCUGCAUACUAAUCACCUGCACUGUGAAAAAUAUUUUAAAUUUGAGACUCUGAAAUUGUGGAUGUUUCUUUAUUUAUUUUCAUUGUCAAAAUAUUAAAUAUUAAAUAUUGUAGUAUUUAUAUGUUGAUAGAUGUGAGCUAAUUCCUUAGUUUUGUGUUUCUGUUUGGUGUUUGUUAGUGUCUGGUAUUUGUUACUUUUUGGUAUUUUGUGUUCUUUUGUGGUUGUAUUCACAUUUUGCUUCCCCAUACAAACAAUAUGUCUACAUUGCAAGUUCAUAAACAAAUACAUUCUUUUAACAAUGUUAGUCCUACAAAAGAGAACUGGAGAAUUGUUGUUAGAGUUAUACAUUUGUGGUUUGUUACUAAUCUUGCUAAAUCCGAAAUUCCGUUUUCAAUAGAGUUGACUUUGUAAGACAAAUAGGUAAUAUUAUAUUCAUUGGCACUACUUUGUUCGGUUACAUUUUUUUUUUUUUUGUACUUGACUCAUCCUUACAUGUUUAUGUUUUGUACUUUAAUCAUGGUUUCCUUUGUAUUCUCUUCCAGGGAGUCAGAAUACAUGGAUCAAUCAGGAGGACCUUGAUCUAUAAAUUUCAAAGUGAGAUUGUUGAUGGCAGUGUGUAUUCUUUCCAAUCAUUCAUUGUUGCAUCAAAUGGUGGCUCUUACAGAACACACCACCCUUAUAAAAUCAAUUUUCAGUUUGGAACAAAGAUAACUUCAGUUGAUGCUUAACUGGUACCAAAAUGUAGUCCAAAAUACAUACCUCUUUCUGUCAUUUAUGCUUCUGGUUUUGAAAUUGAUUACUUA
Molecule: long non-coding RNA, 3718 nt
Filed under: Phaseolus vulgaris (common bean)
Lineage: Eukaryota; Viridiplantae; Streptophyta; Magnoliopsida; Fabales; Fabaceae
Description: long non-coding RNA (PVUL_LNC000608)
Source: RNAcentral